UACGUAGGGUGCAAGCGUUGUCCGGAAUUAUUGGGCGUAAAGAGCUCGUAGGCGGUUUGUCGCGUCUGCUGUGAAAGCCCGGGGCUCAACCCCGGGUCUGCAGUGGGUACGGGCAGACUAGAGUGCAGUAGGGGAGACUGGAAUUCCUGGUGUAGCGGUGAAAUGCGCAGAUAUCAGGAGGAACACCGAUGGCGAAGGCAGGUCUCUGGGCUGUUACUGACGCUCAUGCACGAAAGCAUGGGGAGCGAACAGG
Molecule: ribosomal RNA, 253 nt
Filed under: uncultured bacterium
Lineage: Bacteria
Description: partial 16S ribosomal RNA
Rfam family: Bacterial small subunit ribosomal RNA
Source: RNAcentral